RNAcentral lists this ribosomal RNA (484 nucleotides) under uncultured bacterium. RNAcentral's name for it is "partial 16S ribosomal RNA". It matches the Rfam family "Bacterial small subunit ribosomal RNA", at positions 30 to 507 of the family's 1533-position model. The record is from RNAcentral.
AUUGAACGCUGGCGGCAGGCCUAACACAUGCAAGUCGAGCGGAUGAAGGGAGCUUGCUCCUGGAUUCAGCGGCGGACGGGUGAGUAAUGCCUAGGAAUCUGCCUGGUAGUGGGGGAUAACGUCCGGAAACGGGCGCUAAUACCGCAUACGUCCUGAGGGAGAAAGUGGGGGAUCUUCGGACCUCACGCUAUCAGAUGAGCCUAGGUCGGAUUAGCUAGUUGGUGGGGUAAAGGCCUACCAAGGCGACGAUCCGUAACUGGUCUGAGAGGAUGAUCAGUCACACUGGAACUGAGACACGGUCCAGACUCCUACGGGAGGCAGCAGUGGGGAAUAUUGGACAAUGGGCGAAAGCCUGAUACAGCCAUGCCGCGUGUGUGAAGAAGGUCUUCGGAUUGUAGAGCACUUUAAGUUGGGAGGAAGGGCAGUAAGUUAAUACCUUGCUGUUUUGACGUUACCAACAGAAUAAGCACCGGCUAACUUCGUG